Molecule: ribosomal RNA, 944 nt
Filed under: uncultured methanogenic archaeon
Lineage: Archaea; Methanobacteriati; Methanobacteriota
Description: bacterial SSU rRNA
Rfam family: Archaeal small subunit ribosomal RNA
Source: RNAcentral
UUUCCGGUUGAUCCUGCCAGAGGUUACUGCUAUCGGUGUUCGCCUAAGCCAUGCGAGUCAUAUGUUCUUCGUGAACAUGGCGUACUGCUCAGUAACACGUGGAUAACCUGCCCUUGGGUCCGGCAUAACUCCGGGAAACUGGGGAUAAUUCCGGAUAACGCACAUAUGCUGGAAUGCUUUAUGCGUCAAAUGGAUUCGUCUGCCCAAGGAUGGGUCUACGGCCUAUCAGGUAGUAGUGGGUGUAAUGUACCUACUAGCCGACGACGGGUACGGGUUGUGAGAGCAAGAGCCCGGAGAUGGAUUCUGAGAUAUGAAUCCAGGCCCUACGGGGCGCAGCAGGCGCGAAAACUUUACAAUGCGGGAAACCGUGAUAAGGGGACACCGAGUGCCAGCAUCAUAUGCUGGCUGUCCGGGUGUGUAAAAUACACCUGCUAGCAAGGGCCGGGCAAGACCGGUGCCAGCCGCCGCGGUAACACCGGCGGCCCGAGUGGUGAUCGUGAUUAUUGGGUCUAAAGGGUCCGUAGCCGGUUUGGUCAGUCCUCCGGGAAAUCUGACGGCUUAACCGUUAGGCUUUCGGAGGAUGCUGCCAGGCUUGGAACCGGGAGAGGUAAGAGGUACUACAGGGGUAGGAGUGAAAUCUUGUAAUCCCUGUGGGACCACCUGUGGCGAAGGCGUCUUACCAGAACGGGUUCGACGGUGAGGGACGAAAGCUGGGGGCACGAACCGGAUUAGAUACCCGGGUAGUCCCAGCCGUAAACGAUGCUCGCUAGGUGUCAGGCAUGGCGCGACCGUGUCUGGUGCCGUAGGGAAGCCCGUGAAGCGAGCCACCUGGGAAGUACGGGCCGCAAGGCUGAAACUAAAGGAAUUGGCGGGGGAGCACAACAACCGAGUGGAGCCUGCGGUUUAUUGGGCUCAACGACGGACACCUCACCGGGGGGCGACAG